AUACCCGGGUAGUCCUAGCCGUAAACGAUGCNAGCUAGGUGUCACGUGGAUUGCGAAUCCAUGUGGUGCCGAAGGGAAACCGUGAAGCUCGCCGCCUGGGAAGUACGGCCGCAAGGCUGANNCUUAAAGGAAUUGGCGGGGGAGCACCACAACGGGUGGAGCCUGCGGUUUAAUUGGACUCAACGCCGGAAAGCUCACCGGAGACGACAGCGGGAUGAGGGCCAGGCUGAUGACCUUGCUAGACUAGCUGAGAGGAGGUGCAUGGCCGCCGUCAGUUCGUACCGUGAGGCGUCCUGUUAGGUCAGGCAACGAGCGAGACCCGUACCCACAGUUGCCAGCGGCUGCUCCGGCAGGCUGGGUACACUAUGGGGACCGCCUCUGCUAAAGAGGAGGAAGGAGCGGGCGACGGUAGGUCAGUAUGCCCCGAAUUCUCCGGGCUACACGCGGGCUACAAUGGAUGGGACAAUAGGUCCCGACACCGAAAGGUGAAGGCAAUCUCUUAACCCCAUUCUUAGUUCGGAUUGAGGGCUGGAACUCGCCCUCAUGAAGCUGGAAUCCGUAGUAAUCGC
This 569-nucleotide ribosomal RNA is filed under the name uncultured Methanomicrobiales archaeon. Its description in RNAcentral is "bacterial SSU rRNA". It matches the Rfam family "Archaeal small subunit ribosomal RNA", at positions 733 to 1301 of the family's 1478-position model. The record is from RNAcentral. Lineage: Archaea; Methanobacteriati; Methanobacteriota; Methanomicrobia; Methanomicrobiales.